GACCUGGUGGUGGAUGGAUCACACCCACUUUCCUUCGACAAGGAGGAUAGAGUCCGGUGGGAGUCCCCGGUUCGAUUCCGGGUCAGGUCA
Molecule: non-coding RNA, 90 nt
Organism: Mycena metata
Lineage: Eukaryota; Fungi; Basidiomycota; Agaricomycetes; Agaricales; Mycenaceae
Source: the annotation of a GenBank genome assembly